This 3486-nucleotide long non-coding RNA is filed under the name Nicotiana tabacum (common tobacco). RNAcentral's name for it is "long non-coding RNA (NTAB_LNC013775)". The record is from RNAcentral. Lineage: Eukaryota; Viridiplantae; Streptophyta; Magnoliopsida; Solanales; Solanaceae.
UUCCAUCAACCAAGCGUCUUCAUCAAUAACCUUACCUCCGGAUACUUCAUUCCCAGAUGUCAUGUUGAGAGAACUAGAAACACACUAGAGAAACGUUAAAUAGUUAUAAGAUAAAAUAUUUACAAAAAGAAGAAAAAAAACUUGUAAAAAUAAAAGUAAAAGUUUAAUAUAGAAAAAUAGUUAAUUUCUAAAUCCCGACAACGACGCCAAAAACUUGUUGCGGCCAAACACACACGCAAGUAUACGCGAUCGUCAAGUAAUAAAGUUAUUAAAAGUCAGAUGUCGAACUCACGAGGACUUGUGAUUAACUAUUAACUAAAAUAGACUAUCCUAAUUAUCUAAACAAGAAUUAAACCUAGAAAUAUUCGGUUCUAAACUAAUCAAAAUAAAGGAAAAUAAAUGGUGAACUCUGAACAAGGAAAAAGAAGAUUUUUAUGAUAUUAAUGUAAUGAAAACGAUUUAGGGUCAUGAGCUAUCUAACACUCCUAUUGUAUUUUUCAAUUGAAUUGACUAACUAAUUUAUCUAGUUUAUUGGUUGACAAGGUUAAUAUUGCUCAUAAGAAUCUGUCGAGUUCUUACUUGCCUAUUCAAGCUAACCUAACACCUAUAUGUCUAUGAAGUUAGAAUCAGCAAGAACGCAUUUAUAAUUCCUGUAUAUCAACCAAGCAAGGCAAUUAGAUAUAUAUCUAUCCUAAUCGCGAAUCCAUUCCCCGAUGCCCGGAUUCAAGAACUUGCUCUACUCAAUUCUAUAUGCAAUCUAGAAUUCCCACUUUUGAGUUCAACUCUUGAUUCGUAGAUAGUAUUCAAUUGAUGAUCAAGCAAUUAAAUAAUUAAGCGCGAGAUUGAAUAAAUAAACCAAUAUGAUAAACUAAGAAGUCAAAAUCAAUAUUCGAAUAACAAUAGUCAUGAAAGAACCACAACCCUAGAACGUGAAGUUUAACUCCACAUAGACAUGGUAGCCAAAUAAUAAUUUAUACAAAGAAACAUAAAAAUUAUUAAAUUUGGUGGAAGAAAAGAUGAAAUCCGACCUCCACGGCGGCUCUGUGCUCUUCCUUGGUCAAAAGUUCCUCUCAAAAACGUUCUUCCUCUCCAAAAUAGGUUUAGGACCCCUUUUAUACGAGUUGAGACCGUGCAGGACCGAAAUAACUAAGUCCCGAACGAAAUAGGACAAGUCCCCGCUUCGAGCAUCUAGACCAGCGUUGGCGCUGGCUCAGAAAGCAGUGACGAUUUUGCAAUUCCUUCUUGCUGCGUUUGUGAUUUGCAUUCUUAUACCUUAUUCUUUUGUCUUCCACUUGGGGGACAAAACCUAAAGGGUGUCCCUCCCCCCUCCCUUUUAUUAUUUUAUUUUCCUUCCUUUUUCUUCACCGUUUUAUUUAAUUUUGCUCCAAAUCUCUUUAUUUUCAAAGCCCUUUAUUCCUACACAGUUAAUAAUAUUCAAAAGACGAUUCAAAGUAUUAGAAUAUAAGGUAACAAUGGGUAAAUAUAUGUAGUUUUUAGCCGAACAUCAUUCAGUCAAAUAUUGCUUUGUGAUUUGUCCUGAUAUAUUGGAAGAAAACCUGGAAGUAGUGAAAUCAAGUGCAAUAAUGGGAUGCUAAUACAGGCAUGAAGUAAAGCAAGGAAGUGAACGUUAUCGUGGGAACAAACUGCUUUUAAACUUCUAAAUAGAUAAAACAUUCUAUUGUGUGUACCGUGUAAAUUAAGUCAGUGUAUCUAUUAUCAACUAGAGGCAAUUACUUCAUAAAUAGCCAAAUGAAAGUUAGUUACUGCAUAACAUGUCCAGGUUUAACACAACUGAAAAACAAAAUAUGAAUAGCAAUAGCAGUUUAAAUGAAGUAGAAUGAAAUGGUUAAGAGCCAUAUCGGCUCCCCAGAAGAUUUUAUCUUCUGUAUUUUUGCUGCCUAGACGAUGUAAAAGUUGUAAAAGAUGAGGGUGUGCAAUCUUGGCGAGGUAGCGGCGUCGAGUCCCGCAUUGGAACUCCUUGCGGCUCCGAUGUUUAUGAAAUGCAAAGAAAUAGAAAGAAAGGAUAUUAGAGGGGGUCGGAAUCAAAUAUAUAGAAUAAACUUAACAAGAAAAUAAACCUAAAGCAUGGUAUUUAAGCUCAUGGAUGAUUACUGCCAUACUUUAUAAUGUAAAGUAAGUUAGAUCUAACAAGUAAUCAGCAAUGAUGAACAAACAGAGCAUGUAAAUGAAUAUAUGUUAAAGGCAUUCUAGCAUUUCUCAUUUAACCACAGUAGUAUGUGUUGGUAACCAAUUUAAUUUGUUUUUAAAAGAUGUUUAAUAUCUACAGGUAAGGUAUCUAGUUAUUAAACUAAAAGCUUAAGUCCUAAGUUGAGGUGAUGAUUGUGAAAGUGUUCAAUUCACUAAUUAAAUACGAAGACAUCAUUUUAUCCCAACAAAUUUCAAAACCAGACUUAGGUGUUAUACAAAAGGCAGCUGCUAAGAGUUUCUAGAGUGAAAUCCUAAUGAACAUGACGUCUAUCACCUCAAUGGAACUGAGUUUCCACUCAAAUACAUAUUCAUAAUAAAGGUAGGAAUCAACUCUCCUUAUUAUCACGAUUAUUAGACAUUUUAAAGUAAAAUAAAAGAUCUCCAAAGUUACAAAAUUACAAAUCACCAUCUCUAAUAGGGCAAGUCUUAUAAACAUUCAAGUACAUAUUUUGGUCAAACUAACAGAAUUUCUCCAAGAUACUAUGACUUUUAAAACAGAUUUUUAGCUUGGCGGUUAAGCACGAAACUUAAGCAUGCUUAUCUAUUCACAAACUAAAACAGACAGCGAGAUAAAGUAGAAAAUAUUUCCCAUAAACAAACAUGGAGCAUGUAUUAAACACUGAAAAUAGUUCGUAUAAGGAGGGCAAGCAAUAGCUUUUCAACAGGAAGUAAAGAAGCUGGAAAAAGACUAAGAUCAGACCUUUUUGUGGGCAGUGAACGGGAGCUUGAGCAACUUCAGAUCUACUAACGAGAUCGAAUCUAAAACUAGUUUGAGCGAACUGAAUCGAGAGACCCCAGAGAGCUAACUUUUCAAAAUAUUUUUUUUAUGAAAAUAAUAGAGAUUUCGAUUGUAGUAAAGUUGUCUAUCACACCCUGAUUCCCCAAAAUGAUUCAGUUGAAGGUUUUAGGAGUAUUUAUAGGAGAAGACUAGGAUUUGGAAGCGGGAAUUGAAAGAUCCAUUUAAAAUUCAAAAUGCUCGUUCAAGAUCUGUCCAAAAAUGUGUCAGAAAGAAGAUCAACAAAAUCAUCCUCUUCCUUCAGAGAUACAACGAUUUGGUCAACUUCGAUGCCAAAGUUUUCGGCUUUUCAUUUAAUAUGCAAGAGAGAGAAUGAAGACUCUGCUGAAAAAUGGUGAAACCAUUCUCAUUUCGUAGUGAAAGCAAGUUGAAAUUUUGUCCAAGAGAGGAAAGGGGUGGGGUCAGCUGCAUAGAGGGAAGAGGAACUAAGGUUAGGCUUAGUGGAGCUCUAUAUUACUAAAUAUGUUCAUAUUUUGCAUAUU